UCAUUAAAUUUCAUGUGUCUCCUUUAUCUCCAAUGUGAGUUUGUAUCUCAGGACUUCCCAAAUUGAUAUUCAAAGUUUUUCUGCAGGGGUUAGUCCGACAAAAUAUACCAAUGUCUACACAAGCAGUUUUUAGUUCAAUAACCGAACUAGACUCCAUGUCUAAUCAGAUUAAGGAAGGCUAUUUAACCUAAGCACUGUUGAUAUUUGGGAACGCAAUAAGGAAUUGAUCCGCAAGCGUACGGAUAUCGGUGAGCACUUCACCCGGGAAAUUAUCCAGAGUAUCGUAUUUAUUUUUUACCACUAGGAGAAAGAGUGCAUCUGACUAACCGGUUUAUUACUACUAACCCUUUAGGCACAAAGAAUGUCUUUCGAUGUGAGUGAUAAAUAGAGAAGACUGCAACCUUAGUCUCCUUCUAACCUUGGUAAGGAUGAUCUACUGUUCUAUUGGGGAAGCUAACGGAAUCUAGACACCACAAAGGAUGUUCAUCCCACACCUAUAAACCCUAUCCUUCCUGCU
Molecule: long non-coding RNA, 517 nt
Filed under: Sorghum bicolor (sorghum)
Lineage: Eukaryota; Viridiplantae; Streptophyta; Magnoliopsida; Poales; Poaceae
Description: long non-coding RNA (SBIC_LNC004270)
Source: RNAcentral